ACAGUGGACGCGAGCAUCUGUGGCCAAGUUUUUAAGGGCGCACGGUGGAUGCCUUGGCACCAGGAACCGAUGAAGGACGUGGGAGGCCACGAUAGUCCCCGGGGAGUCGUCAACCAGGCUUUGAUCCGGGGGUUUCCGAAUGGGGAAACCCGRCAGUCGUCAUGGGC
RNAcentral lists this ribosomal RNA (167 nucleotides) under Streptomyces albidoflavus. RNAcentral's name for it is "partial 23S ribosomal RNA". The stretch from base 22 to 167 matches the Rfam family "Bacterial large subunit ribosomal RNA", at positions 1 to 145 of the family's 2925-position model. Lineage: Bacteria; Bacillati; Actinomycetota; Actinomycetes; Kitasatosporales; Streptomycetaceae. The record is from RNAcentral.